Molecule: long non-coding RNA, 866 nt
Organism: Rhineura floridana
Lineage: Eukaryota; Metazoa; Chordata; Lepidosauria; Squamata; Rhineuridae
Exons: 4
Source: RefSeq, a predicted model, not a curated record
CAGGAAGCAUAUGCAUGCUGUAUAAGAGUGAAUAUAAGAGUUAGAAGUUAUUACAAUUGGGUUAGUGUAUUUUUCAUGGACAAUUGCGAUAAAUUCUUGCCUGAAUUGGAAUAUAAUCCUUAGUGGUUAUGUUUACAGGGGCUUAUAUCAUGCUCCUUUACAGAAGAAUUGCAAAGCUGUUUUCAUAAAUGAUAUCUGCAGCAACAACAAAGUUUAUAUGGCAGAAAAAUCAUCAAGUGGUCUGCCAAGACCUUCAGCGAUUUUCAAGUGGUCCAUGGAGGAAAAAAAGUUUGAGAACUACACUGAUCUAUACUGACUAGCAAAGGCUCUCCAGCAGCUACUAGAAUCAAGAGGGUGGGGAAGAACAGAGACCUACAAUGUCAUGGCAGUGAUCCCCAUAAGCAAUUGCAAAGAUUAUGUCAAGCUCAGGACUUGUCAUGAAGAAGCUGUUUCCAACAACAUCCCCAGUCAACCCGACUAUGGUCAGUCCAGAUAACAGUCCAGAUAUGCGAGAUCAACUGUUACCAUCCCAUUUGCUCCAAACACACUCAGAGGAGGAAAUCGCUUUGGCUAGCCUCAUUCCCACACCAGGUAUUUGCAACUAACUUGUAGCAGAAGUUGGCAUCAUGCUUGUAAUAGCGGCACAGGUUCCCAUCAUCAGGAGGGGUUGCACAGAAGAAGAUAGUCGGAGACAAGUUAUAUCGCCCAGUUUUGCAGAAUUCAUCUAUUUCUCGAGGAACCCCAGGCUCAAUAGCCACUCUAUCACCUGGGAGACAAGAAGGAUGCAGUAAGAUAAAAGCAUGGACAAGUUGUCAUGUAAAGAGGCGAUUUUUUUCCUAGAAGCCAGAGAUCAGACUACACGUACC